GUAAGCAAGGGACCAAAGUGCAGCCAGUCAGGCGUCCGCUUGGGGGAGCUAAUGAGCUCAGGGAGUCGUCUGAGGUCACCUUUCCCAGGAACGCAGAGGAGAGCAGAGAGUGUGAGAGAGAGGGACUUGGGGACGCCUUUUAAGCCCCUGGGUACAGCCAUGCCAGAGUUACUCAUCACACACCGUGGGCCCUGGAGAGACAGCUGUGAACAGAAUAGACAAAGUCCCUGGCCUCAGGGAGUUUUUCUUCAUAGCUCCUGUGACAUCAUUCAGAGACGUGUGGGGAACUACCCAGUGGGGAGAUAGUAUCCUCAUUUCUCGAAGGCCUCUUGGAGACGGUGCUGGGCUGAGUGGUUCUCAGAGUCAGGUGGGCAUGUGAAUUCCCAGAGGCUAUGCUAGAAUGCUGAAGGCUGGGCCCCAGCCCAGAGCUGCUGAUAGUCAGAGGUGAGGUCUGUGCAUCCAUGCUUCUAACGUGUUCCCCAGUAAUGCCGAGGGAACCAUUACUGUUCCCCAGUAAUGCUGCUGGUCCAGGGAACCUGCUUUGACAAUCACUGCUUUACUGCAAGGAAUAAUUUCAAGCAUUUCAUAAACCCCAGUAAUAUUAUUUGUCAUGUUCUCCUUUUCUAGAGGAGACAUCAGUGCCCCAGUUUUAUUCUCUGUGCCUCCCAAUAACCUCAUCUCACAGCCUGUGCAUUCCAUGAGGAAAAAACCAAGCUGGAACACCAUUUUCAGCUCCUUCGGCCAGCGCCCAACAGUCACUAGGGCUUCCUUCAGCCCAGGCUCUGAGCUCAAACAGCUGACCUGAAUCCUGCUCACUCCCGCCUGUCCUCCUGUGAGACCCUGGACAGUGGCUUAACCUUCCUUAGCCUCUGUUUCCUUAUCCAAGAAGCAAGGCUAAGACUAGGACCCUGGGGACUUCCCUGGUGGUCCAGUGGCUAAGACGCCAAGCUCCCAAUGCAUGGGCCUGGGUUUGAUGCCUGGUCAGGGAACUAGACCCCACACGCCGCAACUAAGAGUUCACAUGCCACAGCUGAGAACCGAUGCAGCCAAAAAAAAAGACUAAGACCCUGGCACUGCAAGGCUAGAGCUCACUGAGAGAAACUCCCUUCUAGAACAGUCUGCCAGGGGCUAUGUGACAUCAAUAGCACCCUGAUGGAUAAAAGAAGCCCCAUUCUUCAACAAAAUAAAGCUGACAAAAAUCGGCCAUUUCAAAGCUAAGACCUAUUUUCUAUUUUCCAAGAGCCUGAACACCGGAGGCAGCUGGAGUUUCCCGGUUUCUGAAAAGCCCACCUGAAUGGAUCCUUUCACGAUACAAAUGUAUUUUGCCAGAUUGAGAAACUGAAGCUCAGGGCAAUAGGCUCUAAGCAAGGGGGAUAACUUCCCCAAGGUCACCCCGCUGGGACAUGGAAAAGCAGGACGCAUGGGUCUGUUUCUGGGUAAAAUCUCCAGCUCUUAACCACUGCUUCAGACUUUCUCCAAAAUCCCCUCUUUUCUCCUUUGCACCACACAGGCUGAGCCAGGGAGGGCUGGGUUCGAGUCUCU
Bos taurus (domestic cattle) is the source of this 1542-nucleotide long non-coding RNA. NCBI's taxonomy places the organism in Eukaryota, Metazoa, Chordata, Mammalia, Artiodactyla, Bovidae. The record is from Ensembl.